Molecule: ribosomal RNA, 253 nt
Filed under: uncultured bacterium
Lineage: Bacteria
Description: partial 16S ribosomal RNA
Rfam family: Bacterial small subunit ribosomal RNA
Source: RNAcentral
UACGGAGGGGGCCAGCGUUGUCCGAAGUUACUGGGCGUAAAGGGCGCGUAGGCGGGAGCCUAAGUCCGCUGUGAAAGCCCGGGGCUUAACCCCGGAGGGUCGGUGGAGACUGGGUUUCUUGAAAGGGCUAGGGGGAGAUGGAAUUACCGGUGUAGCGGUGAAAUGCGUAGAUAUCGGUAGGAACACCAGUGGCGAAGGCGGUCUCCUGGGGCCUGUUUGACGCUGAGGCGCGAAAGCUGGGGGAGCCAACGGG